GGGGGCGUACUGGUUUCGACUCUUAGUUGGAAGCACAGGCGGCAUGUCGAGGAUGGUUCGUUGGCCUCGUUAAAAUCCGGACCAAAAAAAAUAAACGCAGAUCACCAAGAUCUCGCUCUCGCGGCUUAAUUGACCGUGACCUGUCCGCAGCGACGCCUGCUAGCGGUGGAUAGGUGGACAGCAGGCUAGCCUGACGGCGGAGCGACCGCGUCGAAGGGUGAAAGGAUUUCGCGGACGCUCGGGAGCCGGCAGUGUGCCGAUGCAUCGUUUGGCUCCUUAAAAAUAAGCAUCGGAUAAACAUGUAGAAGCUUGUGCAGAAAGCUUCGAGGACAGGGGUUCGACUCCCCUCGCCUCCACUU
RNAcentral lists this transfer-messenger RNA (359 nucleotides) under Verrucomicrobiota bacterium. It matches the Rfam family "transfer-messenger RNA". Rfam says of the family: Bacterial tmRNA, also known as 10Sa RNA or SsrA, is named for its dual tRNA and mRNA-like properties. Lineage: Bacteria; Pseudomonadati; Verrucomicrobiota. The record is from RNAcentral.